RNAcentral lists this small RNA (1080 nucleotides) under Pongo abelii (Sumatran orangutan). Its description in RNAcentral is "retained intron". Lineage: Eukaryota; Metazoa; Chordata; Mammalia; Primates; Hominidae. The record is from RNAcentral.
GGAGGUCUGAGUUUGGUGGAGAAAAUGGGGCAUAUUUGGGAGAAACUGAGUAAUAAUAGGCAAGAGCAGAUGUUUUAUAAGAGAGAGAGAGGAGAUGCCCAUGAUGGCCAAGCUGUGCCCUGGGGACCUGGAGCAGGAGGCAGCUCACAGAGAGUGGGAGGCAGAGAGUGAAGUUGCUUGCAGGGCACCCCUUUCUGCAUGGAACGUGGUCCUGGGAUUCUGGCUGGAAGGUGCUCCCAGGCUUUCAUGUGGGUAAGGAGCUGCUUCCUCUCUCUGGACUGGCCCUGCAGGAAGCCCAGUGAAUAUAUUACUGCGAUCAUGGAGCUCAGUGCCCUUGUAGUGAAACGGAAUAACCAGUUCUUCCGGUACAACGACUUCCUGUACUUCCUCACUCCCUGUGGACGGCGCUUCCGCAGGGCCUGCCGACUGGUGCAGGACUUCACAGAUGCCGUCAUCCAGGAGCGGCGCCGCACCCUCACUAGCCAGGGCGUUGAUGACUUCCUCCAAGCCAAAACUAAGUCCAAGACUUUGGACUUCAUUGAUGUGCUCCUGCUGAGCAAGGAUAAAAAUGGGAAAGAGUUGUCAGAUGAGGACAUAAGAGCAGAAGCUGACACUUUCAUGUUUGGAGGCCAUGACACCACGGCCAGUGGCCUCUCCUGGGUCUUGUACAACCUCGCGAGGCACACAGAAUACCAAGAACGCUGCCGGCAGGAGGUGCAAGAGCUUCUGAAGGACCGUGAGCCUAAAGAGAUUGAAUGGGACGACCUGGCCCAGUUGCCCUUCCUGACCAUGUGCUUGAAGGAGAGCCUGCGGUUGCAUCCCCCAGUCCCUAUGUUCACCCGCGGCUGCACCCAGGACGUGGUGCUCCCAGACAGCCGGGUCAUCCCCAAAGGGAAUAUCUGUAGCAUCAACAUCUUCGCAAUCCAUCACAACCCCUCAGUCUGGCCAGACCCUGAGGUCUAUGACCCCUUCCGCUUCGACCCAGAAAACGCCCAGAAGAGGUCACCUAUGGCUUUUAUUCCUUUCUCGGCGGGGCCCAGGAACUGCAUCGGGCAGAAGUUCGCGAUGGCAGAAAUGAAG